RNAcentral lists this ribosomal RNA (497 nucleotides) under uncultured bacterium. RNAcentral describes it as "partial 16S ribosomal RNA". It matches the Rfam family "Bacterial small subunit ribosomal RNA", at positions 28 to 507 of the family's 1533-position model. The record is from RNAcentral.
GAUGAACGCUGGCGGCGUGCCUAAUACAUGCAAGUCGAGCGAACAGACGAGGAGCUUGCUCCUCUGACGUUAGCGGCGGACGGGUGAGUAACACGUGGAUAACCUACCUAUAAGACUGGGAUAACUUCGGGAAACCGGAGCUAAUACCGGAUAAUAUAUUGAACCGCAUGGUUCAAUAGUGAAAGACGGUUUUGCUGUCACUUAUAGAUGGAUCCGCGCCGCAUUAGCUAGUUGGUAAGGUAACGGCUUACCAAGGCAACGAUGCGUAGCCGACCUGAGAGGGUGGUCGGCCACACUGGAACUUGAGCACGGUCCAAACUCCUACGGGGGGGCACAAGUGGGAACUUUCCGGAAUGGGGGGAAACCUUGCGGAGCAACCGCGCGGGGGGGGAGGAAGUCUUCGGAUCGUAAAACCCUUUUUUUAGGGAAAAAAAAAAGUGGAAGUAACUUAUCACGGCUUGACGGUACCUAAUCAAGAAGCCACGGCUAACUACGUG